UUGUCUCAAGGUUUUGAGUUCGAGUCCCUGUUGGGCGUUUUAGAAAACAUUUUAGUUAUUUCUGAUUUCAGUUAAAAUAAUUAUUGUAUUUAUUUGUCUUUAGUGUUAUUAUUAAUUAUUUUUAUUUUUAUUUGCUUUUACUUGGCACAUUAUUUUUUUGUUCUUUUUCUUCUUGGUUUUUGUUCUCAUGUUCUUCUUUUUGCUUUUUGGAAUCGGUGGUGUUGUGGGGUCGAAGGACCUUGAUUUUCUGCUCCUUUGUCGUCUUCUUCGUCAUCAAAAUAGGUGUG
Molecule: long non-coding RNA, 287 nt
Filed under: Gossypium barbadense (sea-island cotton)
Lineage: Eukaryota; Viridiplantae; Streptophyta; Magnoliopsida; Malvales; Malvaceae
Description: long non-coding RNA (GBAR_LNC000887)
Source: RNAcentral